Molecule: unclassified non-coding RNA, 240 nt
Filed under: soil metagenome
Description: partial contains 5.8S ribosomal RNA, internal transcribed spacer 2, and large subunit ribosomal RNA
Source: RNAcentral
AAGACUAUAGACCUGCGGAGUACCUGCGGAAGGAUCAUUAUAGAGUGGUAAACCCCCCGUAAAAGGGGGGGACCUCCUGUCCUUUGUAGGCUCUUUUUUAAAAGGGCUUUUUUUAAUUUUCUGCUUCGGUGGGGUUAUCCCACCGGAACAACCUCAAAACUCUUAUCAAAAAAUCGUUCUGUCUGAGAACCUUUUAUAAUAAAAAAAAACUUUUAGCAACGGAUCUCUAGAUCGGAAGAG